ACCGUGCAAAGGUAGCAUAAUCACUUGCCUAUUAAUUGUAGGCUAGAAUGAACGGAUAAACGUAAUAAAGACUGUCUCAAUUAUUAUCUUAUAAAUUAACAUUUACACGAAGAGUGGUAAAUAAGUUCGAAGGACAAGAAGACCCUAUAGAGCUUUAUUUUUAAUAUGACAGUUUAUCAUAUAAAAAUUCGGUUGGGGCGACCGGGGGAAGUAAGUUUAAUAUAACACCCCUCAUAAAAUAGAUAAAUUAAUCAAAAAGCUGACCCUAAGAGGAUCAUAAGAAUAAGCUACCUUAGGGAUAACAGGCUAAUUCUAUUUAAGAGUUCAUAUCUACAAUAGGGUUUGGCACCUCGAUGUUGGCUU
This 363-nucleotide ribosomal RNA is filed under the name Maoridrilus transalpinus. RNAcentral's name for it is "partial 16S ribosomal RNA". It matches the Rfam family "Bacterial large subunit ribosomal RNA", at positions 1945 to 2538 of the family's 2925-position model. Lineage: Eukaryota; Metazoa; Annelida; Clitellata; Crassiclitellata; Acanthodrilidae. The record is from RNAcentral.